RNAcentral lists this long non-coding RNA (1840 nucleotides) under Gossypium barbadense (sea-island cotton). Its description in RNAcentral is "long non-coding RNA (GBAR_LNC007727)". Lineage: Eukaryota; Viridiplantae; Streptophyta; Magnoliopsida; Malvales; Malvaceae. The record is from RNAcentral.
AAAUAAUUAAAAUAAAUAAUAUGUAAAAAUAAUUUAAAAUAAAUAAUACAUAAAAUUUUAAAGUAAAUGACGUACAAAAAGAGUUUAAAAUGGACAUUAUAAAAAUAAAAUAGAUAAUAAAUGAAAAUUUAAAAGUAAACAAUAUAUAUAUAUAAAUUCAAUAUAGAUAAUAUGUAAAAGAGUUUAAAACCAACAAACAAACAAAAAAAAAAUUAAAAACAGAAUAUAUAUAUAUAUAAUAAAACAGUUUGAUAUGAAUAAUAUCUAACAAAAAUUUAAAACGAGUAAAAUAAUUUGAAAGAAAUAAUAUAUUAAAUAUUAAAUAAAUAACAAAUUAAAAGUUUAAAAUCCAACAGAUUAGGACUAAAUCAAAAUAGAAAUGAAAUUAAAAGUAGAAAAUAAUAAUAAAACAAACAAUUUAAAUAAUUAAAUAAAACAAAGAACUGAAAUUAAAUGCGCAAAUACAUUCGGGGACCAAAAAGGAAAUUAAUCCCAUCUCUAGGACACGUGUCCCUUUCUUAAAACGCCAGUGAGUUAAGGACUCAAUUGAAAUGAACGGAAAAUUUAGGGACCAAUUUAUAAAAAUAAAAAAGUAAGUAAAAUGGGUAGAUCGCAACGUUCUGCAAAAAUAGGGGGACUUAUCGUGAAAAUAGACCAUAAGUCUAAAACACGCGAAUCCCCUCCAGUUUUGGGUCGGGUGACGGGUCGGAGCCUUAUACGGUGCCGUUUUGGGCCACUGAAACAGGCCCUAAAUGACUCCGUUUCAUGCAUCAUAUAAAACCAAAAUUUUUUUCUUUUUCCUUUCAUUCUGCUCUUUCCCUUUUUAAAAAAAAAAACAGAGAGCCUUUGCUCUCUCUCCCUCUCCCUCCUUCAUGGCCGACCAUGGGUUCAUCGGGGGGUCCUCCACGCCUACGCCGUGAACGGCGACCAAUGUUACGCGAAACGGGUCCCUUCGACGCUCUUUUUGAAUAGGUCCGAAGAUGGAGCCCUCAUGACCACAGCAACGCAAGGAAAAAGGGAAGGACCCUUCGGUUCUUCGUUCUCCAUCGCGGCCAAUGGUCGAACCCCCAGGGGUUCGGCGACCUUCAGGACGACGAGAGGAUGCCGUAGCGCACCCAAACAGUGAAUCGAAGGUGCGUUUUUUAUUACUAUUUCGUUCUUUUAUUAUUAUUACUUAAAUAUUUAUAUGCAAAAAAAUGAAGAAAAAUAAAAUAAAGAGGAACAAAGUAAGAAUCUUAAAUAAAAAUAAAGAUGAAAAUCACCUUCUGAAGUUUUCUUUUUUGUUAUUUCUAUUUUCUGAUGUUCGUAAAAAAACUACAAAGAUGAAAUUGUGGCUUUUAAAGCCGUUUACAAAACGAUUAAAUCAUAUUUUUUUGUCGUUUUCUCCAUUAGUUGCCUCUGUCUUGUGUGUGAACCUUCGUUUUGCAAGUGUCAGAGGCGUGGGUGAGUGGUGGUUGGCUCACGAGGAGGCGAGGCAGCGCGCGUGGUGGCUCAGCAUGCGUGGGGUGAGCGGCGGCUGAAGAGGGGGGGCUAGGGUUUGUUUGCUUGCUGAAAAUUUUGAUAGCUAAUGGGCUAGGGUUUAGUUUAGGCCUUGUAAUUUGGGUAGGAUAGGUUUGGGUAUGUUAUUGGGUUUUUGGUAUUUUUUAAUUUGGGCCAUUUUAAUGUGUAAAUGGACUGUUAAUAAAUAUUUAGAUUUUUACUUAUUUUUGGUUUAUUUUGUUUUAUAGACAUGGGUCAAAAUUGGCUAUUAUAAUUAUAAUUUUGGUUUCAUUUUACUCAAAAAAUUACCACCCAAAAAAUGUGGUUACAUAAAUAUACGGUCAAAAUACGUUACCAUUUC